Molecule: ribosomal RNA, 497 nt
Filed under: uncultured bacterium
Lineage: Bacteria
Description: partial 16S ribosomal RNA
Rfam family: Bacterial small subunit ribosomal RNA
Source: RNAcentral
GACGAACGCUGGCGGCGUGCCUAAUACAUGCAAGUAGAACGCUGAAGAGAGGAGCUUACUCUUCUUGGAUGAGUUGCGAACGGGUGAGUAACGCGUAGGUAACCUGCCUUGUAGCGGGGGAUAACCAUUGGAAACGAUAGCUAAUACCGCAUAACAAUGGAUGACACAUGUCAUUUAUUUGAAAGGGGCAAUUGCUCCACUACAAGAUGGACCUGCGUUGUAUUAGCUAGUAGGUGAGGUAAUGGCUCACCUAGGCGACGAUACAUAGCCGACCUGAGAGGGUGAUCGGCCACACUGGGACUGAGACACGGCCCAGACGCCUACGGGAGGCAGCAGUAGGGAAUCUUCGGCAAUGGGGGCAACCCUGACCGAGCAACGCCGCGUGAGUGAAGAAGGUUUUCGGAUCGUAAAGCUCUGUUGUAAGUCAAGAACGGGUGUGAGAGUGGAAAGUUCACACUGUGACGGUAGCUUACCAGAAAGGGACGGCUAACUACGUG